Molecule: ribosomal RNA, 290 nt
Filed under: Blastocystis sp.
Lineage: Eukaryota; Bigyra; Opalinata; Blastocystidae
Description: partial small subunit ribosomal RNA
Rfam family: Eukaryotic small subunit ribosomal RNA
Source: RNAcentral
GAUUAAGCCAAGCAUGUGUAAGUGUAAAUGAACUAGUUUGGAACUGCGAAGCGCUCGUUAUAUUCAGUUAUAGUUUAUUUGGUGAAGCGUACUACUUGGAUAACCGUAGUAAUUCUAGGGCUAAUACAUGAGAAAGUCCUCCGGUGAGGUGUGUUUAUUAGAAUGAAAACCAUAUGCUUCGGCAGUAUAGUGAGUAAUAGUAACCUAUCGUAUCGCAUGCUUAAAGUAGCGAUGAUUCUUUCAAUUUUCUGCCCUAUCACCUUUCGAUGGUAUUAUAUGGGCCUACCAUG